GGGCAAGCAGUUGGGAUUAUUGGCACGAUGAGGGGCAACCUGAAGGCAGGCAUGCGGGGUGUGGGUGGAAGAAGGGCUUCGGUAGUAAAGCACUUCAGCCAGGUGGAGGGAGGGCGGUAAUCGUAAUAGCUGUAUCGUUGGACCGUUAGCUGCCAGAAGGAGCCACCGGGCUAACUCGGUGCCAGGCAGCCGGUGGUAAUACGGAGGGGUGGCGAGCGUUAAUCGGGAAUUACUGGGGCGUAAAGGCGGCAUGCAGGCGGCUUGUUAAGGCCAGAUGUGAAAGCCCCGGGGGCUCAACCUCGGAAUCGCAUUGGAACUGGCAGGCUAGAGUCUUGUAGAGGGGGGGUAGAAUUCAGGUGUAGCGGUGAAAUGCGUAGAGAUCUGAAGGAAUACCGGUGGCGAAGGCGGCCCCCUGGACAAAGACUGACGCUCAGAUGCGAAAGCGUGGGGAGCAAACAGGAUUAGAUACCCUGGUAGUCCACGCCGUAAACGAUGUCUACUUGGAGGUUGGUGUCUUGAACACUGGCUUUCGGAGCUAACGCGUUAAGUAGACCGCCUGGGGAGUACGGUCGCAAGAUUAAAACUCAAAUGAAUUGACGGGGGCCCGCACAAGCGGUGGAGCAUGUGGUUUAAUUCGAUGCAACGCGAAGAACCUUACUUACUCUUGACAUCCACGGAAUCUUGCAGAGAUGCGGGAGUGCCUUCGGGAACUGUGAGACAGGUGCUGCAUGGCUGUCGUCAGCUCGUGUUGUGAAAUGUUGGGUUAAGUCCCGCAACGAGCGCAACCCUUAUCCUUGUUUGCCAGCACUUCGGGUGGGAACUCCAGGGAGACUGCCGGUGAUAAACCGGAGGAAGGUGGGGACGACGUCAAGUCAUCAUGGCCCUUACGAGUAGGGCUACACACGUGCUACAAUGGCAUAUACAGAGGGCAGCAAGACCGCGAGGUGGAGCGAAUCCCACAAAGUAUGUCGUAGUCCGGAUUGGAGUCUGCAACUCGACUCCAUGAAGUCGGAAUCGCUAGUAAUCGUGGAUCAGAAUGCCACGGUGAAUACGUUCCCGGGCCUUGUACACACCGCCCGUCACACCAUGGGAGUAGAGUCACCCGAAGUACAGGGUAAGUCGUAACAGAGGUAACCAUGCUAGAGUGUUCA
Molecule: ribosomal RNA, 1151 nt
Filed under: Photobacterium ganghwense
Lineage: Bacteria; Pseudomonadati; Pseudomonadota; Gammaproteobacteria; Vibrionales; Vibrionaceae
Description: bacterial SSU rRNA
Rfam family: Bacterial small subunit ribosomal RNA
Source: RNAcentral